This 427-nucleotide ribosomal RNA is filed under the name uncultured bacterium. RNAcentral describes it as "bacterial SSU rRNA". It matches the Rfam family "Bacterial small subunit ribosomal RNA", at positions 355 to 774 of the family's 1533-position model. The record is from RNAcentral.
UGGGGAAUCUUGCACAAUGGGGGCAACCCUGAUGCAGCGACGCCGCGUGAGCGAUGAAGCCCUUCGGGGCGUAAAGCUCUUUUAGUCGGAAAGAAAGAGUUGCAAUGAAUAAUUGUGAUUUAUGACGGUACCGACAGAAAAAGCACCGGCUAACUACGUGCCAGCAGCCGCGGUAAUACGUAGGGUGCGAGCGUUAAUCGGAAUUACUGGGCGUAAAGGGUGCGCAGGCGGUCUUGCAAGUCAGAUGUGAAAGCCCCGGGCUUAACCUGGGAAUUGCGUUUGAAACUACAAGACUAGAGUGCAGCAGAGGGGAGUGGAAUUCCAUGUGUAGCAGUGAAAUGCGUAGAGAUGUGGAAGAACACCGACGGCGAAGGCAGCUCCCUGGGUUGACACUGACGCUCAUGCACGAAAGCGUGGGGAGCAAACA